UACGUAGGUGGCAAGCGUUGUCCGGAAUCAUUGGGCGUAAAGCGCGCGUAGGCGGCCCGGUAAGUCCGCUGUGAAAGUCCAGGGCUCAACCCUGGAAAGCCGGUGGAUACUGCCGGGCUAGAGUCCGGAAGAGGCGAGUGGAAUUCCUGGUGUAGCGGUGGAAUGCGCAGAUAUCAGGAGGAACACCAAUGGCGAAGGCAGCUCGCUGGGACGGUACUGACGCUGAGGCGCGAAAGCGUGGGGAGCGAACAGG
This 253-nucleotide ribosomal RNA is filed under the name uncultured bacterium. RNAcentral describes it as "partial 16S ribosomal RNA". It matches the Rfam family "Bacterial small subunit ribosomal RNA", at positions 524 to 776 of the family's 1533-position model. The record is from RNAcentral.